UACGCAGGUGGCAAGCGUUGUUCGGAAUUACUGGGCGUAAAGGGCGCGUAGGCGGCCUACUAAGUCAGACGUGAAAUCCCCCGGCUUAACCUGGGAACUGCGUCUGAUACUGGAAGGCUUGAGUAUGGGAGAGGGAUGUAGAAUUCCAGGUGUAGCGGUGAAAUGCGUAGAUAUCUGGAGGAAUACCGGUGGCGAAGGCGGCAUCCUGGACCAUUACUGACGCUGAGGCGCGAAAGCUAGGGGAGCAAACGGG
RNAcentral lists this ribosomal RNA (253 nucleotides) under uncultured bacterium. Its description in RNAcentral is "partial 16S ribosomal RNA". It matches the Rfam family "Bacterial small subunit ribosomal RNA", at positions 524 to 776 of the family's 1533-position model. The record is from RNAcentral.